This 565-nucleotide long non-coding RNA is filed under the name Gossypium barbadense (sea-island cotton). RNAcentral describes it as "long non-coding RNA (GBAR_LNC007865)". Lineage: Eukaryota; Viridiplantae; Streptophyta; Magnoliopsida; Malvales; Malvaceae. The record is from RNAcentral.
CAAAGAAAAAAAAAAUCUCGCCAACCCAACCCGUUAAAAUCUUUUGGAGACCCGUCGGAAGUCCGAUGGGUUGCCGGGUAUUGCAACCCAAAUUUCGGUCGAGAAUGAACGAAAUCGUAAUAAUAUCGGGCAACUCCAUAAUUCCAAUGAAUCCGGAAGUAAUCCGAGCAAUACGCAGGCGAAGUGAAAACAAUCCUAGUGGAAGGAGUACUGCAGUGUACCCUCGGCCAUCUGCUUCGCUUGUUUACGAUUGAAAACGAAUGACAAAGUACAUCUCCAGUGGUUCUGAAACAAUCUCCAGAUCGGAGCAGUCACAAUUUUAGAACCUGUUAGUGUACAGUUUGUUUGAACGAAUCGAAACUUAAAAAACCAAUCUUUUUCACACAACCCUUGAAACAUGGGGUGCGUAUAAGUCCGAUUAGAAAUCCAGAAAAAUUUGACGAUGUGGGUUUAGGGUUUUUUUUCUUGCCAUUUAGGGCUUUUAAUCUCGUCUUCCUUCAGUUUUUCUUAAAGAUUUGAUUCAAUGGGUUUGGUUGGAGAGAUUUUUUUAUAUUUUAAUUUUUUG